Molecule: long non-coding RNA, 1350 nt
Filed under: Homo sapiens (human)
Lineage: Eukaryota; Metazoa; Chordata; Mammalia; Primates; Hominidae
Description: HSALNT0363873
Source: RNAcentral
ACCCCUGCCCUCAGCCUCCUUCAAAGUGGCCGCUGGGGCUGGGGUCUGUCUUUGCAGAGGUGCCAGGCCACAUGCCCUGCCCACCUCUACCAGCUAUGCCGCCUCUGAAGUUCCUCCAGCGGCACUGAGGAGGGGCCCUGUGGUCGAGGGUGCAGUUAAACGAGGCCCGACCGGGUAGUUGAGCUCAGCUUGGCUGUACUUGUCUUCCUUGGACCUGCUGGGCACCCCCAGAGGUGUGGCGGGGGCCGCUGGAGAACGGCAGCCUCCCUCUGCUUCCCUUCCCAGGAGGGCCAUGGUUAUAGACACAGGUUCGGAGUCAGCCCCAGCUUGAAUCCUGCUUCUGCCACCAGCCCUGUGACCUGAAGCAAGUGAGUCCCAAUCACCUCAUCUGUGCACUGAGAUGCAGAGUGGCUAUUUCUACUGCAUGUGGCUGUUGUGGGGACUGGGCGAGAGAGAUCCCCAAUAGGUGCUAUGAUUUUUCUCCCUGCUUUGCCCUCCAGCCAUACCCGGAAGCCCCCGAGUUUUGAUCUGGCCCAGGUAGACCGAUCAUUUCCUCCAAGUCCCCCUUCCCUGAGGAGCUGGCGUGCUUCAGUCUCACAGAAUGGGCAACUGAGGUUGAGAGAAAGGAAAUAACUUGUCCCAGGCCAGCAGCUGAGUCACGACCAAGGCACUUCGUUCUUCAUCUAGUGCGGCCUGUGCAGCCAAAAUGCCUUCCCAUGAGCUUGCCACAUAACCAUGGGUGGCUCACUGGACUUUCAUCUGGGCAAAGAGAAGGGUGUGCUGACACUACUCAUGGCUCCUUCAUCUGGGACCUACCCAAAUCCCGUGGCUUUGCUCACAAUCAUCUGAUCCUGUUGUGCCCAAGAUGCCUGCUCCCAUGCCUGGAUACCUGCUGCAGCUGCUCCAAGCCAGGACCCUGCCAAUCUGUCAUUUUAGAUCUUCAGCUCUGGGUUGGUCUUCCAGGUGCCUCUGCCUCCCAAGGAAACCCAAGGAACUCCGCCAGAAAGGGAAUGCCUAAAAGAGCAGCAGUGGGGACUGUAGGGGUCCUCCUGCCUGCCCCUUUGUUAUCCAGAGUGGGGCCCUGACUUGCCUGAAGUCACACAGGGACUCCGGUAUUCCAAUCCUCGGCCUUAAGAUCGCUGCUAUCCGGUUACUUCUAUCUAAAAGCCCUAGAGAAGUUUCGGGAGACACUCAAAGGGCCCUUGUCUGGUUUCCAGGCUGACCAACUCUAAUGGAGAAAAAGCUCACUCACUAAGCAUACAUCAAAUGCCAGGCGUAUAGAAUCCUUCAGUGGAGGGAUCAUUCUCCCCAUUUUACAGAGGAAUAAAGUGAGGCUCAGAGUGAAUGAAA